This 88-nucleotide transfer RNA is filed under the name Streptomyces halstedii. RNAcentral also lists the same sequence under 1 other name. Lineage: Bacteria; Bacillati; Actinomycetota; Actinomycetes; Kitasatosporales; Streptomycetaceae. The record is from RNAcentral.
GGUCAGAGCCCCAAGCGUUCGCGGAUGUGGGCGGUCUUGAAAACCGUCGUGGCGCGAGUCACCGUGGGUUCAAAUCCCACACCCACCG